Molecule: ribosomal RNA, 380 nt
Filed under: uncultured eukaryote
Lineage: Eukaryota
Description: partial 18S ribosomal RNA
Rfam family: Eukaryotic small subunit ribosomal RNA
Source: RNAcentral
CAAUAGCGUAUAUUAAAGUUGUUGCGGUUAAAAAGCUCGUAGUUGGAUUUCUGCUGAGGACGAUCGGUCCGCCCACUGGGUGAGUAUCUGGCUCGGCCUUGGCAUCUUCUUGGAGAACGUUGCUGCACUUGACUGUGUGGUGCGGUAUCCAGGACUUUUACUUUGAGGAGAUUAGAGUGUUUCAAGCAGGCGCACGCCUUGAAUACAUUAGCAUGGAAUAAUAAGAUAGGACCUUGGUUCUAUUUUGUUGGUUUCUAGAGCUGAGGUAAUGAUUAAUAGGGAUAGUUGGGGGCAUUCGUAUUUAACUGUCAGAGGUGAAAUUCUUGGAUUUGUUAAAGACGGACUUCUGCGAAAGCAUUUGCCAAGGAUGUUUUCAUUGA